This is a long non-coding RNA of Suricata suricatta (meerkat), 889 nucleotides long. RefSeq lists it as uncharacterized. NCBI's taxonomy places the organism in Eukaryota, Metazoa, Chordata, Mammalia, Carnivora, Herpestidae. The transcript has 4 exons. The record is from RefSeq and is a predicted model, not a curated record.
GAGGUACCUGCUCUCGGCCGGCGGGACGCCCUGGGGCUGCAGGCCUGGGAGCUUCUCCUGACCCCUCCGUAUCUGACAGAGGAGAGCAGGCACUGUUCCUGGGAGGGGGUGGCCAAGAGACGCCGGGGAUGGAAGACAGGCUCCAGGCUCCGGGUGGCUGGGCAGGUUUGUGAGAGUCCCAGAGAGAAGUAAGGAGCCCGGGUGGAGGUGGAUGGGGACCCUAGGCCCAGCCCCAGCCUUGGACAAGGCCUCCUGGAUACACCUGCCUAGUCGCCACCGCUCAGCCUCCGCCUCUGAAGCCGGAGAUAAGACCGCUCAACUUCAAACUGUCAUCAAGGUGCGUCUACACUCCCCGUCCGGCUAGUGCCUAUAUUCCGGGGUCGCCCUUCGAGGCCGAAGCUUCAAGCCCUGCACCAGACCCCUGCUUAGAGACGGGAGUAGAGACCGGAGAGUUGGAGAGGCAGCAAGUGGCCGCUGGAGACACAGAUGGAAAAGCAGAGUGUGAGGAAAGUACCAGGAAGGCUAGGGAGCAAACAGAAGAAUGUGACUGGACAGUGGCUGUGAAGUCGCCCAGCCAGAAACGACCGGGGUAGGGGGAUGGGGGCGGGAGGCUGGUUCCGCAGAGGCUGAGCUGUCCCGAAUUCACAAAUGAAACCUGGAGGCUGAGGACUCCGAUGGGGACGCAGAGAGCAAGUCUGCUUCUAGCUUCCUGACCUUCAGCCCGGGCCCUUCGCUCUCCGCCCCCACCCAUCUCCCCUGCGGCCAUCUCUGCCCCCUCCAGACCCCCGCGUCGUCGCAGGUGCUGGGGCACACGGCCCCCAGCGGGCGGGCGGGCGCGAGCCGAGGCGGCAGACUCACCUGGGCGGUGGCGGCGGCGCGGGGCGGGAGC